UUUUGGACAAUGGGCGCAAGCCUGAUCCAGCCAUUCCGCGUGAGUGAAGAAGGCCUUCGGGUUGUAAAGCUCUUUCGCAAGGGAAGAAACGAUUUAGGUAAAUAAUCUAAGUUAAUGACGGUACCUUGAUAAGAAGCACCGGCUAACUACGUGCCAGCAGCCGCGGUAAUACGUAGGGUGCGAGCGUUAAUCGGAAUUACUGGGCGUAAAGCGUGCGCAGGCUGUUUUGUAAGUCAGAUGUGAAAUCCCCGAGCUCAACUUGGGAACUGCGUUUAAACUACAAGACUAGAAUAUGUCAGGGGGGGGUAGAAUUCCACGUGAGCAGUAAAUGCGAAGUGUGAGAAUUCAAUGGCAAGGCAGCCCCCUGGGAAAAUGCGCUAUCCAGAUUC
RNAcentral lists this ribosomal RNA (389 nucleotides) under uncultured bacterium. RNAcentral's name for it is "bacterial SSU rRNA". It matches the Rfam family "Bacterial small subunit ribosomal RNA", at positions 362 to 752 of the family's 1533-position model. The record is from RNAcentral.